UACGGAGGAUCCAAGCGUUAUCCGGAAUCAUUGGGUUUAAAGGGUCCGUAGGCGGUUUGGUAAGUCAGUGGUGAGAGCCCAUCGCUCAACGGUGGAACGGGCCCAUUGAUACUGCCAGACUUGAAUUAUUAGGAAGUAACUAGAAUAUGUAGUGUAGCGGUGAAAUGCUAGAGAUUACAUGGAAUACCAAUUGCGGAGGCAGGUUACUACUAAAUGGAUUUGACGCUGAUGGACGAAAGCGUGGGUAGCGAACAGG
RNAcentral lists this ribosomal RNA (256 nucleotides) under uncultured bacterium. Its description in RNAcentral is "partial 16S ribosomal RNA". It matches the Rfam family "Bacterial small subunit ribosomal RNA", at positions 524 to 776 of the family's 1533-position model. The record is from RNAcentral.